This 397-nucleotide transfer-messenger RNA is filed under the name Flavobacteriaceae. RNAcentral describes it as "Arcticimaribacter sp003023645 Standard tmRNA". It matches the Rfam family "transfer-messenger RNA". From Rfam's summary of the family: Bacterial tmRNA, also known as 10Sa RNA or SsrA, is named for its dual tRNA and mRNA-like properties. Lineage: Bacteria; Pseudomonadati; Bacteroidota; Flavobacteriia; Flavobacteriales. The record is from RNAcentral. RNAcentral also lists the same sequence under 1 other name.
GGGGUCGACUGGUUUUGACAGCGAGAUCAAUCGAACAGUUAGCAUGUCGAGCAAUGAAUUACAGCUCGUUAAACUUGUAUUCAACCUUUAAUAGGCGAGAAUAACUACGCUCUAGCUGCAUAAGUAACUGAAUUAUAGUAAGUUACCGCCAAGUCUCAACUAGGUUGAGAAGCCGGAUGUCUCUUGAAAGCCCUUGUUGACGGCGUUCAAAAUAGAGGCACCAUAAAUGUCAACAUCGAAAUUUGAAGGUGCCGGUCAAAUUUUUCAAUAAAGGUACUAAGGUAUAAGUGGGCCGUUUUUAGUCAGCUUACAUUCGAAAACCAAUUAAAAACUAAACAUGUAGAAGGCUCUUCUAUUGCUUGUUUGGACGAGGGUUCGAUUCCCUCCGACUCCACUA